AGGGAUGGAGGCCUUCGGGUUGUAAACCUCUUUCGCCAGUGAAGCAGGCCUGUCCCUUGUGGGUGGGUUGACGGUAGCUGGAUAAGAAGCGCCGGCUAACUACGUGCCAGCAGCCGCGGUAAUACGUAGGGCGCGAGCGUUGUCCGGAAUUAUUGGGCGUAAAGAGCUCGUAGGCGGCUGGUCGCGUCUGUCGUGAAAUCCUCUGGCUUAACUGGGGGCUUGCGGUGGGUACGGGCCGGCUUGAGUGCGGUAGGGGAGACUGGAACUCCUGGUGUAGCGGUGGAAUGCGCAGAUAUCAGGAAGAACACCGGUGGCGAAGGCGGGUCUCUGGGCCGUUACUGACGCUGAGGAGCGAAAGCGUGGGGAGCGAACAGGAUUAGAUACCCUGGUAGUCCACGCCGUAAACGUUGGGCACUAGGUGUGGGGGGCCUUUUCCGGGUCUUCCGCGCCGUAGCUAACGCAUUAAGUGCCCCGCCUGG
This 479-nucleotide ribosomal RNA is filed under the name Actinomyces oris. Its description in RNAcentral is "bacterial SSU rRNA". It matches the Rfam family "Bacterial small subunit ribosomal RNA", at positions 404 to 876 of the family's 1533-position model. Lineage: Bacteria; Bacillati; Actinomycetota; Actinomycetes; Actinomycetales; Actinomycetaceae. The record is from RNAcentral.